Molecule: long non-coding RNA, 353 nt
Filed under: Lactuca sativa (garden lettuce)
Lineage: Eukaryota; Viridiplantae; Streptophyta; Magnoliopsida; Asterales; Asteraceae
Description: long non-coding RNA (LSAT_LNC000052)
Source: RNAcentral
GAAGUGGCACUGGCGAAGAGUGCAGCUCCCAGACAAAGUAGAGCGGCUCUUCUUCCUUGCUGCGACUGAUCAAUGGAAUCAGACGAUGAACUCACAGUCUGCUUAGCCCUGAUGACCGGCAACUUGUAACUGACGGCUGUAGGUGCGGCGGAGGAAGGCUUUGAGUUGAAGUCCGGGGAAGCAAGACCACCGGAGACUGCGUAGUUACAGGCCAAUACACUGGAGUUCAUUGUGGCCAUAUUAGAUCGAUGGUGUUUAGGAAUGAUUUUGAUUCGGUGGUGGAAUUUUAUAUACAAGAAAAUUGUAAGAGAUAUAAGUUUGUGGGUGAGACUGAUGGAUAUGAAAAUGGUCUG